GAGUGCAGUAGGGAGUCUGGAAUUCCUGGUGUACGGUGAAAUGCGCAGAUAUCAGGAGGAACACCGGUGCGAAGCGGGACUCUGGGCUGUAACUGACACUGAGGAGCGAAAUGCAUGGGGAGCGAACAGGAUUAGAUACCCUGGUAGUCCAUGCCGUAAACGUUGGGCACUAGGUGUGGGGGGCAUUCCACGUUCUCCGCGCCGUACUAACGCA
This 214-nucleotide ribosomal RNA is filed under the name uncultured bacterium. RNAcentral's name for it is "partial 16S ribosomal RNA". It matches the Rfam family "Bacterial small subunit ribosomal RNA", at positions 642 to 859 of the family's 1533-position model. The record is from RNAcentral.